RNAcentral lists this long non-coding RNA (491 nucleotides) under Arabidopsis thaliana (thale cress). RNAcentral describes it as "long non-coding RNA (ATHA_LNC000071)". Lineage: Eukaryota; Viridiplantae; Streptophyta; Magnoliopsida; Brassicales; Brassicaceae. The record is from RNAcentral.
GCUUCUUAUGUCUAUCAUCAAUGAGACACUAGAAAAAUGAAAGAGUCAUGAAUCAACCUCAGCCCGAAGAGAUUUCAUGAAAUCAUUCUCCAAUUUCAAUCAAAUCCCAUCACAAAAUUGACCACUGAAGAAUCAAAAACAGAGGCCACUUAGUCAAAAAAAACUCUGAAACUCCAUAAACGAAUCCCACUCUUCAGCUUUCACUAUCCUUUGUUCCUUACACAACUUCACAACAAGACAUUACAAUGGUGUUUAUUAGAAGUAAAGUUUCAAAAUCCAUGGAAGCCAUUGAUUCUAUUGAGGUACCUUGUAAUACUCCUCGAGUCCUCAUCCUCGAAAUGAAGAUUUGAGCAGAUGGGCUUUUGGAGGUUGGAAUCAAAGGAAGCAUCGGAUUUGAGGGGGUUUUCGAACAUUCUCUUGGCUAUUUAGAGUUGAUUUCUCUUCCAAGUUGUGUCGUCUCCAUUUUUGUUGUUACAGUGGCCGAGCUUUUU